RNAcentral lists this ribosomal RNA (238 nucleotides) under uncultured bacterium. Its description in RNAcentral is "partial 16S ribosomal RNA". It matches the Rfam family "Bacterial small subunit ribosomal RNA", at positions 96 to 334 of the family's 1533-position model. The record is from RNAcentral.
CGGCGGACGGGUGAGUAACGCGUGGGUAACCUACCCUGUACACACGGAUAACAUACCGAAAGGUAUGCUAAUACGGGAUAAUAUAUUUGAGAGGCAUCUCUUAAAUAUCAGAGGUGAGCCAGUACAGGAUGGACCCGCGUCUGAUUAGCUAGUUGGUAAGGUAACGGCUUACCAAGGCGACGAUCAGUAGCCGACCUGAGAGGGUGAUCGGCCACAUUGGAACUGAGACACGGUCCAA